RNAcentral lists this non-coding RNA (27 nucleotides) under Arabidopsis thaliana (thale cress). Lineage: Eukaryota; Viridiplantae; Streptophyta; Magnoliopsida; Brassicales; Brassicaceae. RNAcentral also lists the same sequence under 1 other name. The record is from RNAcentral.
CCCACAAAGGGUGUUGGUCGAUUAAGA